GGAUAGGUACAGCAUCUGUUUGAGCUAUAGUUACUGAGCGCAGGAGUUCCAGCGAGAAGACGAGACCCAGGAAAUGUGAAAGGAUGGUGUUUGCUGAGGCCUGUACCAAAAACACAUCCAAUGCUAGAACUGGACUCUGACCAGGAGAAAUACCCUGGUAAUAUGGAACAGCUGAGGAAGUAAGCGCCUUUGCAACCAGUAGUCCAACAGUGGCUUGCAUCCCAAGAAUGGCAGCACCCAUACCAAGUAGAUUGAUACCA
This 260-nucleotide unclassified non-coding RNA is filed under the name Hevea brasiliensis (rubber tree). The record is from RNAcentral. Lineage: Eukaryota; Viridiplantae; Streptophyta; Magnoliopsida; Malpighiales; Euphorbiaceae.